This 431-nucleotide ribosomal RNA is filed under the name uncultured Pelagibacterales bacterium. Its description in RNAcentral is "bacterial SSU rRNA". It matches the Rfam family "Bacterial small subunit ribosomal RNA", at positions 389 to 840 of the family's 1533-position model. The record is from RNAcentral. Lineage: Bacteria; Pseudomonadati; Pseudomonadota; Alphaproteobacteria; Candidatus Pelagibacterales.
CAGCGAUGCCGCGUGAGUGAAGAAGGCCCUUGGGUUGUAAAGCUCUUUCGUCGGGGAAGAAAAUGACUGUACCCGAAUAAGAAGGUCCGGCUAACUUCGUGCCAGCAGCCGCGGUAAUACGAAGGGACCUAGCGUAGUUCGGAAUUACUGGGCUUAAAGAGUUCGUAGGUGGUUAAAAAAGUUGGUGGUGAAAUCCCAGAGCUUAACUCUGGAACUGCCAUCAAAACUUUUUAGCUAGAGUUUGAUAGAGGAAAGCAGAAUUUCUAGUGUAGAGGUGAAAUUCGUAGAUAUUAGAAAGAAUACCAAUUGCGAAGGCAGCUUUCUGGAUCAUUACUGACACUGAGGAACGAAAGCAUGGGUAGCGAAGAGGAUUAGAUACCCUCGUAGUCCAUGCCGUAAACGAUGUGUGUUAGAUGUUGGAAAUUUAUUUU